Molecule: long non-coding RNA, 227 nt
Filed under: Mytilus galloprovincialis (Mediterranean mussel)
Lineage: Eukaryota; Metazoa; Mollusca; Bivalvia; Mytilida; Mytilidae
Source: RNAcentral
UCUGUAUAUUUAAUAUUUCAUUAUAAGACUUCAAAAUAAUUCAACAUGUACAAAGAUUUACAACAUACAACAUAUCUAUAUACUGCAAUGAUUUCUUCAUUCUUCCUUUUAUAUACACAUGUAUAACAAAUCAUACUUUUAGAUAUUGCUUUUUUACUGAAAUCCUAAAGUUUAAUGACAAAUGAUAUCAAAACUACAACUGAUGUGUUGAGACGACAUAAAUGCCC